Xenopus tropicalis (tropical clawed frog) is the source of this 73-nucleotide non-coding RNA. The record is from Rfam. Lineage: Eukaryota; Metazoa; Chordata; Amphibia; Anura; Pipidae.
GCCUCAUUAGCGCAGUAGGUAGCGUGUCAGUCUCAUAAUCUCAAUGUCAUGAGUUUGAUCCUCACACGGGGCA